Molecule: RNA transcript, 1898 nt
Organism: Paramacrobiotus metropolitanus
Lineage: Eukaryota; Metazoa; Tardigrada; Eutardigrada; Parachela; Macrobiotidae
Exons: 2
Source: RefSeq, a predicted model, not a curated record
CCCUUUUACAUGCUCGAAAUCCUAAGACAUUAUUCAUCCGUUCUGGGCUUGUAGUUAAUUAUUUUUAUGAAGAUUUCGUUUCUGUGAAGCGGAGGCUGCGGAGUUAAGUUCUAAUACAGUACUCUGUCAUUGAGAAAGAGUGAAGCUAAAGUGCUGAUCCCUAGUUCGUCAGUAUGUGCACCGUCUAUCCCGAUAACGUCAACGCCUGGAACGCGGUGGACGUGCGCGACAGCCAUGGUAUGGUGCAGCACGGCCGCGUGACCAACGUCGUCAGCAACGGCUUCCUCGUCGACCGGGACUGCCCCGGACGACACACCGACCUGGUGGAGCACCGCGAAGCCUUACGCUGUCGCCAUUAUCUCUACUAUUUCCACGAUAACAUCCGCGAAUAUAGUCGCGAACUCGCCAACUACACACGCUCUGCGCUAGCCAUCACUGGCUUUCCGACGGUGGAAGUGCUAGCCCGUGUACAUGCCAACCGCCCGUGGACGUGGUACCCCGCUGCACUGGUCUACCCGCGGCUGUUCUGGUAGCGCUACCUCUUUGUGGAGAUACGUUUGGGUGGGGACCACCUGGUGCGGCAGCUGAUGCGAGCGCAUCCCUUGCGCUUGCGACUGGCAGCCUGCCAGGGGGAGUUUUGCACUGUCAGUCGAUGCAAAUUCAUCACGUACGGCCAACAGCUGCCCGCUGGCUACUGGGGCAGCGAGCCCGUUUCCGCUCCGCUGUGGGAUGCCUGGAAGGAGGCCGUCAAGGCGUCCCAGCACGAUGUCUGGCCAGUGUGCGUCCUGGGGGGAAUUGUGGUCUUUCUGCAGAUCAGAGCCGAUCCUCCGCUUCAGAUGAAGGACCUGGAGGAACUACUGUUCGAAGCCAAGAGUCGACUGGCGCAACAAUCUGUCGCCGAACCAACUCCGCCCCCAUCACUAUGCACCCCGGCGCAUCAUGAAGCCAUCCCAACGCCCGCUCCUCGUAGAGGCCCUCGAUCAGUCGCAGGCAGUCCUCCAAGGAUUCGUUGUAGGGCGCCUGCUGCGAUGCCUGACUGAUGAUGAUCCGUUUGGCGCUGGCACCAAAGCACCGCCACAAACUUUGUGCCACCAUGUCCGCGGAGUGCGUCCACUCGGCCUCGUUGGGGGUGGUCGGCAUGCCACGGUGAUCCACGGAACGCUGGUGGGAAAAGGACACGAAGAUUUCCUGGUCAGGCUUCUCCAGAAGAGCGUUCCACAGUGAGCAGACCCGUCGACAUUGGGCCCGCUGUGCGCUGUUUAACACGUGCAGGAUCUGGACCAGGAUUAUCACGGGCAGCCACGGGUACGACCGGGAAGACCCUGACACUCAUCGUGCACAAGUUCCACCUGGAUGUCGAUAGAGUAGAAGAUUUGUGUCACCGUCGUCUGGAGUGCCAGAUACCGGGGAGAAUCAUCUGGACGGACUGCACAACGAGAACUUCCACCGGGAGCCCAUUGUGUACGGAGUCACUCGAACGCCUGCCAUUGGAAUGAAGACGGAGGGGGCCGAUGACCUGUACGAAGUGGUGGAAGCUAAUCUGCCCGAUAUUGGAGACGACCUGGCGGUGUUGUCCGAAUGGAUUGCGGGUGUGGCGGCCAGUGGAGGCGACAAGUCUGUGAAUCGUGUGCGGAUCAGAAGGAUGGGCAUUCGCUUAUAUGACCGUUGGUCGCCAUUACUCUCGCGACUCGGUUAUAAACAAAUCAAAACAGCAUAUAGUUUUCAAAGUGACUACCGCGAAAGUGAAAGUACAGGCUACCAAAUUCGUGUACAUGCAUGAUGCAGGAAAACUUUCACUUUCGCGCUCUCCUAUACACCUUUUCGUAUUGUUUCAUGAUGUGACCAAUUGUAACCAAAUGAUGUUCACAUAUUGGCAUGAAUAUUGUUUGUGAGCGCAA